This 253-nucleotide ribosomal RNA is filed under the name uncultured bacterium. RNAcentral describes it as "partial 16S ribosomal RNA". It matches the Rfam family "Bacterial small subunit ribosomal RNA", at positions 524 to 776 of the family's 1533-position model. The record is from RNAcentral.
UACAGAGGUGGCAAGCGUUGUUCGGAAUUACUGGGCGUAAAGGGCGCGUAGGCGGCCCGUCAAGUCCCGUGUGAAAGCCCCCGGCUCAACUGGGGAACUGCACAGGAAACUAGCGGGCUUGAGUUCGGGAGAGGGAAGCGGAAUUCCGGGUGUAGCGGUGAAAUGCGUAGAUAUCCGGAGGAACACCGGUGGCGAAGGCGGCUUCCUGGACCGACACUGACGCUGAGGCGCGAAAGCUAGGGGAGCAAACGGG